GACCCGCGGAGGAUCAUUACCGAGUGAGGGCCCUCUGGGUCCAACCUCCCACCCGUGUUUAUUUACCUUGUUGCUUCGGCGGGCCCGCCUUAACUGGCCGCCGGGGGGCUUACGUCCCCGGGCCCGCGCCCGCCGAAGACACCCUCGAACUCUGUCUGAAGAUUGUAGUCUGAGUGAAAAUAUAAAUUAUUUAAAACUUUCAACAACGGAUCUCUUGGUUCCGGCAUCGAUGAAGAACGCAGCGAAAUGCGAUACGUAAUGUGAAUUGCAAAUUCAGUGAAUCAUCGAGUCUUUGAACGCACAUUGCGCCCCCCUGGUAUUCCGGGGGGCAUGCCUGUCCGAGCGUCAUUUCUGCCCUCAAGCACGGCUUGUGUGUUGGGCCCCGUCCUCCGAUUCCGGGGGACGGGCCCGAAAGGCAGCGGCGGCACCGAGUCCGGUCCUCGAGCGUAUGGGGCUUUGUCACCCGCUCUGUAGGCCCGGCCGGCGCUUGCCGAUCAACCCAAAUUUUUAUCCAGGUUGACCUCGGAUCAGGUAGGGAUACCCGCUGAACUUAAGCAUAUCAAUAAGCGGAGGA
Molecule: ribosomal RNA, 574 nt
Filed under: uncultured Eurotiales
Lineage: Eukaryota; Fungi; Ascomycota; Eurotiomycetes; Eurotiales
Description: eukaryotic LSU rRNA
Rfam family: 5.8S ribosomal RNA (bases 195-348)
Source: RNAcentral